UACGUAGGUGGCGAGCGUUAUCCGGAAUCAUUGGGCGUAAAGGGUGCGCAGGUGGUACAUUAAGUCCGAAGUAAAAGGCAGCAGCUCAACUGCUGUUGGCUUUGGAAACUGGUGAACUGGAGUGCAGGAGAGGGCGAUGGAAUUCCAUGUGUAGCGGUAAAAUGCGUAGAUAUAUGGAGGAACACCAGUGGCGAAGGCGGUCGCCUGGCCUGCAACUGACACUGAGGCACGAAAGCGUGGGGAGCAAAUAGG
Molecule: ribosomal RNA, 252 nt
Filed under: Amedibacillus dolichus DSM 3991
Lineage: Bacteria; Bacillati; Bacillota; Erysipelotrichia; Erysipelotrichales; Erysipelotrichaceae
Description: partial 16S ribosomal RNA
Rfam family: Bacterial small subunit ribosomal RNA
Source: RNAcentral